UACGGAGGGAGCUAGCGUUGUUCGGAAUUACUGGGCGUAAAGCGCGCGUAGGCGGCUUUGUAAGUUAGAGGUGAAAGCCCGGGGCUCAACCCCGGAACUGCCUUUAAGACUGCAUCGCUUGAAUCCAGGAGAGGUGAGUGGAAUUCCGAGUGUAGAGGUGAAAUUCGUAGAUAUUCGGAAGAACACCAGUGGCGAAGGCGGCUCACUGGACUGGUAUUGACGCUGAUGCGCGAAAGCCAGGGGAGCAAACGGG
Molecule: ribosomal RNA, 253 nt
Filed under: uncultured bacterium
Lineage: Bacteria
Description: partial 16S ribosomal RNA
Rfam family: Bacterial small subunit ribosomal RNA
Source: RNAcentral